AGUGAACGCUGGCGGCAUGCCUAAUACAUGCAAGUCGAACGACCGCACAGUAAGAGUUCGCCUCUAAGGGUGGCGAGUGGCGGAUGGGUGAGACAUACAUAACAUUCUACUUAUACGUGGGGGACAACGUAGGGCAACUUACGCUAAUACAGCAUAUAUUCUACGGGAGAAAUCAAUAGUUCAUCGCACUUUUCCUGUCACUAUGAGACGAUGUCGCAUUAGCUAGUUGGCUAGGUAAAGGCCCACCAAGGCAACGAUACGUAGCUGAUCUGAGAGGAUGAUCGGCCACACUGGAACUGAGACACGGUCCAGACUCCUACGGGAGGCAGCAGUAGGGAAUAUUCCACAAUGGGCGAAAGCCUGACCGAGCAACACCGCGUGAGUGAAGAAGGUCUUCGGAUUGUAAAACUCUUUUGUUGGGGAAGAACAAAAGCGGAAUUAAACCCCGCUGUUUUGACGGUACCCAAUGAGAAAGCAACGGCUAACUUCGUG
RNAcentral lists this ribosomal RNA (492 nucleotides) under uncultured bacterium. Its description in RNAcentral is "partial 16S ribosomal RNA". It matches the Rfam family "Bacterial small subunit ribosomal RNA", at positions 29 to 507 of the family's 1533-position model. The record is from RNAcentral.